UAGUCUACGCUGUAAACGAUGUCGACUUGGAGGUUGUGCCCUUGAGGCGUGGCUUCCGGAGCUAACGCGUUAAGUCGACCGCCUGGGGAGUACGGCCGCAAGGUUAAAACUCAAAUGAAUUGACGGGGGCCCGCACAAGCGGUGGAGCAUGUGGUUUAAUUCGAUGCAACGCGAAGAACCUUACCUACUCUUGACAUCCACGGAAUUCGCCAGAGAUGGCUUAGUGCCUUCGGGAACCGUGAGACAGGUGCUGCAUGGCUGUCGUCAGCUCGUGUUGUGAAAUGUUGGGUUAAGUCCCGCAACGAGCGCAACCCUUAUCCUUUGUUGCCAGCACGUAAUGGUGGGAACUCAAAGGAGACUGCCGGUGAUAAACCGGAGGAAGGUGGGGAUGACGUCAAGUCAUCAUGGCCCUUACGAGUAGGGCUACACACGUGCUACAAUGGCAUAUACAAAGAGAAGCGAACUCGCGAGAGCAAGCGGACCUCAUAAAGUAUGUCGUAGUCCGGAUUGGAGUCUGCAACUCGACUCCAUGAAGUCGGAAUCGCUAGUAAUCGUAGAUCAGAAUGCUACGGUGAAUACGUUCCCGGGCCUUGUACACACCGCCCGUCACACCAUGGGAGUGGGUUGCAAAAGAAGUAGGUAGCUUAA
RNAcentral lists this ribosomal RNA (648 nucleotides) under bacterium YG-87. RNAcentral describes it as "bacterial SSU rRNA". It matches the Rfam family "Bacterial small subunit ribosomal RNA", at positions 791 to 1438 of the family's 1533-position model. The record is from RNAcentral.